CGGGGCCUACAAAAUAUUUCAGCGACAUGAGUUUUCCAAGAGAAGCCAAAAUUCAGAUUAAUCGAAUACCUGAAAAGGUCUGUACAUCACCUAGCGUCCUUCCGGUUGGCACUGGAGGUUGGGGAGGUGACCAGAUGGCCGUCUCGUGUAGAGCAUUUAUGUCCUUCUCCAAUGACCAGCUUGCCUCUGGGCUCCUGGGAGCAGUUUCCAGUGGAAUGGAGCAGAGAGAAUCAUAAUUAUGUCUCAGCCCUAGUUCAUCACCCAAUAGGGACCUGUAUUUCUCCAUGUGCCCUUAUAAAUCUUUUAGCUAAAUCAGGGCUCAAAUGUAAAACCCAGUUCCCAAGGGAACUUUUUAAUAUAAACUAAAGUCUGGUUUAGGCUGAUUUUUUUCUUAAUCUUUGUGAAAAGUAUUUACUCAUGAUAGUUCCAGAUUUAGUACAAAGUCUUACUUAUUUUGCAUGACACUAAAAACAAAAACUCCAAAUGAACAAAAAGCAGAAACAUCCCUCAAACACCAUACAACAUAUAGAUAACAUUCCAUUUAAAUUAUGAAAAUGCAAUUUAGAAGCUGGUAGAAUGUUCAGAGGAAGCGUGCUAUUUCUGGACAAUGCUGCCAUUGUUAUUUUGCUUGGUUUUGCUUUUCAACUAAAUAAUGCUUUUAUCUUCUUAUAGUAGAGCCCCAUAAAGGGAUAAAGUAGUGGAAAUAUGACAAACUUACCCUUUCCGUUUUUUAAAUCUAGUUGUUUUUACGUCCUGUGAUAAUCAUAGAACCUCAUCCUGGCUCUAGAGGGUUAAGCACAGGUUAAAUCCUGAGCAAGUAGUUUUCUAGAGCAAUCUCCUAAGGAGUGCUAUUCUGACUAUCCUUGAAAGAAGAGAUUCUGUCUGGUCAGCACUCCGGGAGCCAAGUGCUCUUUUAAAAUCUGGAUUUGUUGAUGCUACAUGUCAAAAUCCAGACAGAGUGAUAAAUUACUCAUAAAUGAAAAGAGAGGCAAUUAUUGCAGUGAUGGUCACUGGCUAUGAUCUUGGUAAUUCCAGUUCUAUAGCUAUUCUUUUAGCUACAGAUAUUUUUUAUCCUGAACAUCUGAUUCCCAGUUUGAACCUGUGAAUAAGUUACUGGAAGCUAUUAGGAAAAAAAUUAUGCUGUCUGCAAAUGAACCUUGGUGUCUCUAGAAUCCUUUGAAGAAAUAAUAGAAAACCCAGGGACCACUAAAUGCCCUGUGAACUGCUGGGAAAAAAAUAGCUUACAUUUUCUGGAGGAAAAGUGACUCUCUGUAUUUAUGUAAUCAUUUCAAUUAUGAUUCUGCUUAUUAGCUAUAAACCCCAGAAGUCACGAGGUUAAUAGGAACCUUUCCAAAGACACACACAUUAAACUUGGGGAAUAAGGUCAUACAUUUGCAGAAUUCAGGGUUUAUUGGGACUGGUAUCUGUCUCACAUUAGAGAUUUUGUAGGGAACACUGGCUCCUGGCACACACUCUCUUGGCAUCUGUAUUCCUUUUGUCUGCAUCAGGUUCUGCUUGUUCCUCAAACCAUCAGAAGCUAUUUAAGCCGAAAGGGGUGGAUGCCUCCUAUACCUGGAAUCAUGUAAGCAGUAAAACAUGUGUUCCACUUACCCAGUUGAGAGAGGGCUUCAACAGGAAGGCUUGUGGUAUUAGUGAUACUCUUAUAUUUUAGUACAUUACUUACGUUGGAGUCAUUUUUGAAUUUUUUGUUGACUUGCUUUGAAUUUCUAUCUUUUUUUUAUUAAAUUUAGUUCAAAAUUUCUUUGCUGUUUUUGGUUAUGUGCUGAGCACGGUGUGCAAACGCUGUAGAGGAUGCUGUAAAUAAGACAGAAGAAAUUCAGUAAAAUAAUUAGCAUAUGAAUAAUUUCAGUCUCAUGAGUAAUCGACAAAUAUCAAAGUAAUACUUUUCAUCCCAUCAAAUGAUCCAAGAUUAAGGAAAAAGAAAGUUGGUGUGGCGAUGAUGCCAGGGCGUUUUGUUGUGCUGAACUGGUAGUUAGUGCUGUGAGAGAGAUACAAACCACAAGCCCCCUGUGAAGGAUCACAGUUGGAAACAUCAGGGAAAGUUUCUGGAAGGAUUUUGGAAGAGAAACUGAAUUUAAACAGAUGGAGGAUGGAAAUGAAUGCAGGGAACAGAGCUUGAUGAAGGCUGAAAAGAUUUUUUUCCAGGACGUGCGCUGGGGGAGAGGAUUGCUGAGCCUUGAGAUGUACUAGACAGUCCAAAUUGCUCUCCAAGUGUCUGUGCCAACUGGAACUCCCACCAGCGACGUUGGAGAGCUCCAGCUUAUCCUCACCCUUGCGUUUUGCCACUUUAUAUGGACUUGAGCGAGCAGACAUUGUGAGCAAAUCAUCUUGGUGGCAAAAUGUGCCCAGGUGUCUCUCCAGGUCACAGGAUUACCAGAAGCAGCUAAGAAGUGAUUGAGUUUGAAUGCAAGCUCUCUCACUUAUAAACAAGGCAGGGUACACAGAAUGUCAACAAAAUGAAUCAGUUUGAAAAAAGUUGGUCUUGAAAUAAAUAGAACUGAACAGAAGUUUGGGAUUGAAAUCUGAGCUGUCCAUAUCAAUUCGAAAUGAUUGGAAGAACUGGACUCUAAGGCUCUCACUGGACUCUAAGGAUACCGGAGUGAAAUGAAGAGGACCCUUCAUUACACCCACCUCAAGAGCCCGGACUAAAUAAAUGGAACAAAACAGUAUUAGUGAGGCGUGAGUUUCAUGAAAACCAUUUAUUCUUGGGAAAAGAGCUGUCAGCAUACAACCCCAGGGCUUGGUCAUUCAACCCCGUUCCCACCUGGCUGUCCCUUGUAUCCUCUUGAAAGAGGCCAGGCUGCUCAGCACUCAUUUUUCUUGAACACUCUGCCUGGCUCAGUGCUGACCUGGGAUGCAGGUGCCCAGCUUGCCUUCCCAGGCAAAGACACCAAGCUGCCUGGGGAGAAGGUCGGUAGCCCUCACGCCUUGCUUCCUGUAAACUGGACAUGGUGUCUGGAAGUGUGGGGGCUGCCUUGCGACCCUGAGCACAGAGACUUCUGGCAUUCCGAGCUCCUCUGCCAGCCUGGUAUUCCUACCCCUAGAUUCUAAGUGACCAGAGACUAAAUAAACCCAUAUCUGUGUAAAGGCCUUGUAGUGAAAACUUUUAUUUUUAUUUUCUUGCCUGGAAAAUCCCAUGGGCGGAGGAGCCUGGUAGGCUGCAGUCCAUGGGGUCACACAGAGUCAGACACGACUGAGUGUCUUCACUUUCACUUUUC
Bubalus bubalis (water buffalo) is the source of this 3239-nucleotide long non-coding RNA. RefSeq lists it as uncharacterized. NCBI's taxonomy places the organism in Eukaryota, Metazoa, Chordata, Mammalia, Artiodactyla, Bovidae. The transcript is spliced from 3 exons. The record is from RefSeq and is a predicted model, not a curated record.